GCCUUCGUGGUGUAAUGGUUAGCACACUCGGCACGUAUUCGAGAGGUCCAGGGUUCGAGUCCCGGCAAGGGCA
This is a non-coding RNA of Stegodyphus mimosarum, 73 nucleotides long. NCBI's taxonomy places the organism in Eukaryota, Metazoa, Arthropoda, Arachnida, Araneae, Eresidae. The record is from Rfam.